Cercocebus atys (sooty mangabey) is the source of this 383-nucleotide long non-coding RNA. RefSeq lists it as uncharacterized. The transcript is spliced from 3 exons. NCBI's taxonomy places the organism in Eukaryota, Metazoa, Chordata, Mammalia, Primates, Cercopithecidae. The record is from RefSeq and is a predicted model, not a curated record.
UGACACCCAAGCAGAAGGGAGCUCCUUGUUACUACUGAGUGAAGUUUGGGACUCAGACCGGCUCUCCUUGUUUCUCAGCUUACAGCCAGCCUGUUGUGGAACCUUGUGAUUGUUCUGCACCAAUGGCCUCAUGGGAAGUUAUCUAUGAUCAGUUGACAGAGGAAGAGAAGACUAGCCUGGUUCACAGAUGGUUCUGCAGGAUAUGGAGACACCACUCGAAAGUGGACAGCUGCAGCACUACAGCCCCUUUCUAGGAUGUCUCUGAAGGACAGUGGUGAAGGGAAAUCUUCCCAGUGGGCAGAACUUCAAGAAGUGCACCUGGUAAUGCACUUUGCGUAGAAAGAGAAAUGGCCAAAUGUGCCUACAUCUUUCUCCCGUGCUGG